UAGGGAAUCUUCCGCAAUGGGCGCAAGCCUGACGGAGCAAUGCCGCGUGAACGAUGAAGGCCUUCGGGUCGUAAAGUUCUGUUGUGGGGGAAGAAAUCGCAUUGUCAUAAUACGGCAGUGUGUUUGACGGUACUCCACGAGGAAGCCCCGGCUAAUUACGUGCCAGCAGCCGCGGUAAUACGUAAGGGGCAAGCGUUGUCCGGAAUCACUGGGCGUAAAGCGCACGUAGGCGGUUUAGCAAGUCAGGGGUGUAAGCUCUAGGCUUAACCUAGAAAUUGCCUCUGAAACUACUUCACUUGAGUAUUAGAGGGGAAGCUGGAAUUCACGGUGUAGCGGUGAAAUGCGUAGAUAUCGUGGAGAACACCCGUGGCGAAGGCGGGCUUCUGGCUAAUUACUGACGCUGAGGUGCGAAAGCUAGGGGAGCGAACGGG
This 431-nucleotide ribosomal RNA is filed under the name uncultured bacterium. RNAcentral describes it as "bacterial SSU rRNA". It matches the Rfam family "Bacterial small subunit ribosomal RNA", at positions 355 to 776 of the family's 1533-position model. The record is from RNAcentral.